RNAcentral lists this ribosomal RNA (460 nucleotides) under uncultured bacterium. RNAcentral describes it as "partial 16S ribosomal RNA". It matches the Rfam family "Bacterial small subunit ribosomal RNA", at positions 338 to 795 of the family's 1533-position model. The record is from RNAcentral.
CCUACGGGUGGCAGCAGUGAGGAAUAUUGGUCAAUGGGCGGAAGCCUGAACCAGCCAAGUCGCGUGAGGGAAUAAGGCCCUACGGGUCGUAAACCUCUUUUGCCGGGGAGCAAGGGUGGGGACGUGUCCCGGCCCGGAGAGUACCCGGAGAAAAAGCAUCGGCUAACGCCGGGCCAGCAGCGGCGGUAAUAAGGAGGAUGCGAGCGUUAUCCGGAUUUAUUGGGUUUAAAGGGUGGGUAGGCGGGCUAUUAAGUCAGCGGUAAAAAUUCGGGGUUAAACCACGCCCGGCCGUUGAAACUGGGGACCUUGAGUUGGCGAGAGGCAGGCGGAAUGCGUGGUGUAGCGGUGAAAUGCAUAGAGAUCACGCAGAACCCCGAUUGCGAAGGCAGCCUUCCGGCGCCCUACUGACGCUGAGGCACGAAAGUGCGGGGAUCGAACAGGAUUAGAUACCCGAGUAGUC